RNAcentral lists this ribosomal RNA (1486 nucleotides) under Lactobacillus crispatus. RNAcentral describes it as "bacterial SSU rRNA". It matches the Rfam family "Bacterial small subunit ribosomal RNA". The record is from RNAcentral. Lineage: Bacteria; Bacillati; Bacillota; Bacilli; Lactobacillales; Lactobacillaceae.
GACGAACGCUGGCGGCGUGCCUAAUACAUGCAAGUCGAGCGAGCGGAACUAACAGAUUUACUUCGAUAAUGACGUUAGGAAAGCGAGCGGCGGAUGGGUGAGUAACACGUGGGGAACCUGCCCCAUAGUCUGGGAUACCACUUGGAAACAGGUGCUAAUACCGGAUAAGAAAGCAGAUCGCAUGAUCAGCUUUUAAAAGGCGGCGUAAGCUGUCGCUAUGGGAUGGCCCCGCGGUGCAUUAGCUAGUUGGUAAGGUAAAGGCUUACCAAGGCGAUGAUGCAUAGCCGAGUUGAGAGACUGAUCGGCCACAUUGGGACUGAGACACGGCCCAAACUCCUACGGGAGGCAGCAGUAGGGAAUCUUCCACAAUGGACGCAAGUCUGAUGGAGCAACGCCGCGUGAGUGAAGAAGGUUUUCGGAUCGUAAAGCUCUGUUGUUGGUGAAGAAGGAUAGAGGUAGUAACUGGCCUUUAUUUGACGGUAAUCAACCAGAAAGUCACGGCUAACUACGUGCCAGCAGCCGCGGUAAUACGUAGGUGGCAAGCGUUGUCCGGAUUUAUUGGGCGUAAAGCGAGCGCAGGCGGAAGAAUAAGUCUGAUGUGAAAGCCCUCGGCUUAACCGAGGAACUGCAUCGGAAACUGUUUUUCUUGAGUGCAGAAGAGGAGAGUGGAACUCCAUGUGUAGCGGUGGAAUGCGUAGAUAUAUGGAAGAACACCAGUGGCGAAGGCGGCUCUCUGGUCUGCAACUGACGCUGAGGCUCGAAAGCAUGGGUAGUGAACAGGAUUAGAUACCCUGGUAGUCCAUGCCGUAAACGAUGAGUGCUAAGUGUUGGGAGGUUUCCGCCUCUCAGUGCUGCAGCUAACGCAUUAAGCACUCCGCCUGGGGAGUACGACCGCAAGGUUGAAACUCAAAGGAAUUGACGGGGGCCCGCACAAGCGGUGGAGCAUGUGGUUUAAUUCGAAGCAACGCGAAGAACCUUACCAGGUCUUGACAUCUAGUGCCAUUUGUAGAGAUACAAAGUUCCCUUCGGGGACGCUAAGACAGGUGGUGCAUGGCUGUCGUCAGCUCGUGUCGUGAGAUGUUGGGUUAAGUCCCGCAACGAGCGCAACCCUUGUUAUUAGUUGCCAGCAUUAAGUUGGGCACUCUAAUGAGACUGCCGGUGACAAACCGGAGGAAGGUGGGGAUGACGUCAAGUCCUCAUGCCCCUUAUGACCUGGGCUACACACGUGCUACAAUGGGCAGUACAACGAGAAGCGAGCCUGCGAAGGCAAGCGAAUCUCUGAAAGCUGUUCUCAGUUCGGACUGCAGUCUGCAACUCGACUGCACGAAGCUGGAAUCGCUAGUAAUCGCGGAUCAGCACGCCGCGGUGAAUACGUUCCCGGGCCUUGUACACACCGCCCGUCACACCAUGGGAGUCUGCAAUGCCCAAAGCCGGUGGCCUAACCUUCGGGAAGGAGCCGUCUAAGGCAGGGCAGAUGACUGGGGUG